UUUCUCCCUUCUGACGAACCAUGAUGUCAUUUAUUUGGUGUUGUGGGGAAUCAGGACUGUUACUUUGAAAAAAUUAGAGUGUUUAAAGCAGGCUCACGCUUGAAUACAUUAGCAUGGAAUAAUGAAAUAGGACGUUUGAUUCUAUUUUGUUGGUUCCUAGGAUCGACGUAAAGAUUAAUAGGGAUAGUUGGGGGCAUUAGUAUUCAAUUGUCAGAGGUGAAAUUCUUGGAUUUAUUGAAGACUAACUACUGCGAAAGCAUUUGCCAAGGAUGUUUUCAUUAAUCAAGAACGAAAGUUAGGGGAUCGAAGACGAUCAGAUACCGUCGUAGUCUUAACCAUAAACUAUGCCGACUAGGGAUCGGAUGAUGUUAAUUUUUUAAUGACUCAUUCGGCGCCUUGCG
This 401-nucleotide ribosomal RNA is filed under the name uncultured Glomeromycotina. RNAcentral's name for it is "SSU rRNA". It matches the Rfam family "Eukaryotic small subunit ribosomal RNA", at positions 693 to 1092 of the family's 1831-position model. The record is from RNAcentral. Lineage: Eukaryota; Fungi; Glomeromycota.